CCCCUUUUCUCGGGCGCGUUAUGCGCCUAUAUGAGCCUUGCCGGGUGCAAAUCCGGCUAUGGCGAUAAACGGUCGAUGGAAUAAGCCUAUUGGACCCGGGGGCGGUACCCGGCGCCUCCACCAAAAACUGGCCUCCGCUUUGGGUGGCCCGCUUUUGAUGGGGGCGAAAUAGGAUCGACAAGGGUGUAAAGAUCGAACUUUUGCUCGGCAUGAUACCGCCGUUAUCGGGUCACAAGUGUAGUUGCAAAUGACAACAACGCUAAGGAAUACGCUCUCGCUGCCUAAUGGCGGUGUGGGAAUUCCGACUUAAGCCCUUACGGUUAGCCCCGUAAGGCGGGGUUCGGAGGUACCUGGCAACAGAAACCUCCACC
RNAcentral lists this transfer-messenger RNA (371 nucleotides) under Rhizobium sp. CFBP 13717. It matches the Rfam family "Alphaproteobacteria transfer-messenger RNA". From Rfam's summary of the family: Bacterial tmRNA, also known as 10Sa RNA or SsrA, is named for its dual tRNA and mRNA-like properties. Its role is to liberate the mRNA from a stalled ribosome. To accomplish this part of the tmRNA is used as a reading frame that ends in a translation stop signal. Lineage: Bacteria; Pseudomonadati; Pseudomonadota; Alphaproteobacteria; Hyphomicrobiales; Rhizobiaceae. RNAcentral also lists the same sequence under 1 other name. The record is from RNAcentral.